GUAAAAAGUUAAAUGUGUAAAGUUAAUGUCUUUGCAGAAGGAGGGACGCAAAAUUCAAAUAGCGUUUCCCCUCAACAUACUUCUAAUAGGUGCAUUAAAAAAAGUCAGAACAAAACUUCAGAUUUCUACUGAUUCUACAAAUGUAAAUGCCGUGUCUUCACCUGUGCCACGGAUGGCACAAAGCGCAGUCAGUCCUUAACAAACAGACAAGAGUGAUAAAAAGCCAAUAUGCAAAUUGCGUUAUACACCAACGUGUUUUCUUAAUUUGUGUAUGAGGCUCAUUUAAGAUUCCAAUAUAUGUACAAGUUAUAAUCUAUACAAUGUUCCUUAACACGCACUUGAGACCUCAUCAGUGAUGGGGGAGAUAAUCUUCACAAAUGCCUUUUUCAUCAGUCAAAAGCUCGGCGGGGCUGCUGGGUGCCGGUGGUCGUGUCUGGGCUGACUGUGUGGGUGCAGGGAAGGGGCGGCUCGGGGUGGGGGAGCCCGUGUCAUUCGGUGGGAAUUGCCUGCUCCCACAGCGGCAACAUUUAUCGCAAAAGCAGGAAAUUGCUUAUUAUUAAAUAGCUGGCAAGGGAGUGGGAGCCGAUGCUGUUCCACACUGGCACAGCACUUACUUUGCUGCUUUCCCUGCCUCUCCUCAUUCCGUUCUUUCUUUUUCUUCUUCCCCCUCUUUCUCUCUCUCCCCUCUCUCUCUCUCCUCUUCUUUUUUUCAUUUUGGCUUCUAUUCAAAUGUGGGUCAGGGGUGAGCGGCUCCCAACGUCACAAGCUUGCAAGAUGGCGCUGGGAGGAAGGCUGUGAGAUGAGGAACAGGCUGGUAUAAACCGAGAGGACAGGAGAGGGAGAGGAGAGGGGCAGGGGAAGCAGAGCCGCUGCUCCAGAUGCACUAAGAAGGGUCGGAGCGGAGCCUCGGGGUGCCGGGGGGGCGUGUUUGCGCCGGGGAUCCGGCCGUAUUGUGGAGGAGAGGGCAGGGAAGUGGCUCCCGGUACUCGCAUCGCCUCCUUCCCCCUCCUCCGUCCCUCCGCGGGGCUGAGAGGCGCCGAGCCAGGCCGGCAGACCCCGGGCACACUGCCAGCCCCUGCCCCACCGGGCACCCCAACGGAGACCGCGGUGAACUUUUGCCCCAGCUCCCUCUUGUCCCCCUCGGCCCUUUGGGAUGACGGAGCCGCCAGCUCCUUUCGCCCUGCCUGCGGCCGCGGCUCUCCGGCUUUUGUUAGAGCUCCGUCUGGGCUCAGCGCUCGGAGGCGGCAGCGCGCAUCCUCCCGCGGCAAGGGGCUGGCAGGACCCUGCCUCCGGCUUUGUGCCCCCGGAGGAAAUGCAUGGCCUCGGCCCCGCCAUGCCGGAGCAGCGCUGUCCGCCCCGCUCAAGAAACAAACAAAAAUAUAUAUGUAUGUGUGCGUGUAUAAAUGUAAAAUAAUGAAUGCUCUAUGCGCAAGCUGGCAAUAUCGCUGCGAAACGCGCACUGCUAUAGUGUAA
RNAcentral lists this long non-coding RNA (1473 nucleotides) under Phasianus colchicus (ring-necked pheasant). Its description in RNAcentral is "lncRNA (ENSPCLG00000005206.1)". The record is from RNAcentral. Lineage: Eukaryota; Metazoa; Chordata; Aves; Galliformes; Phasianidae.